GAGGCAUAGCCCAGUUGGUUAGAGCGCAUGCUUGACAUGCAUGAGGUCACAGGUUCAAGUCCUGUUGUCUCC
RNAcentral lists this transfer RNA (72 nucleotides) under chicken gut metagenome. It matches the Rfam family "tRNA". From Rfam's summary of the family: Transfer RNA (tRNA) molecules are approximately 80 nucleotides in length. Their secondary structure includes four short double-helical elements and three loops (D, anti-codon, and T loops). The record is from RNAcentral.